AACGAACGCUGGCGGCAUGCCUAACACAUGCAAGUCGAACGAGACCUUCGGGUCUAGUGGCGCACGGGUGCGUAACGCGUGGGAACCUGCCCUUAGGUUCGGAAUAACUCCCCGACAGGGGUGCUAAUACCGGAUAAUGUCUUCUGACCAAGGAUUUAUCGCCUUUGGAUGGACCCGCGUUGGAUUAGCUAGUUGGUAGGGUAAAAGCCUACCAAGGCGACGAUCCAUAGCUGGUCUGAGAGGAUGAUCAGCCACACUGGGACUGAGACACGGCCGGGACUCCUACGGGAGGGAGGAGUGGGGAAUAUUGGAAAAUGGCCGAAAGGAUGAUGGAGCAAGGACGGGUGAGUGAUGUAGGCAGUAGGGUUGUAAAGCUCUUUUAACCGGGAUGAUAAUGACAGUACCGGGAGAAUAAGCUCCGGCUAACUACGUG
Molecule: ribosomal RNA, 433 nt
Filed under: uncultured bacterium
Lineage: Bacteria
Description: partial 16S ribosomal RNA
Rfam family: Bacterial small subunit ribosomal RNA
Source: RNAcentral